UCCUGUCUAAUCAGUGCUAACUGCAGUCGC
Molecule: small RNA, 30 nt
Filed under: Bombyx mori (domestic silkworm)
Lineage: Eukaryota; Metazoa; Arthropoda; Insecta; Lepidoptera; Bombycidae
Description: ovarian small RNA-3392
Source: RNAcentral